UUUAAGGUGACAGAAUUAAUGUGAUGAGCUUAAAAUUCAUAAAUGAAGGCUUCUUCUCUUAAAA
RNAcentral lists this transfer RNA (64 nucleotides) under Sminthurides bifidus. RNAcentral's name for it is "tRNA-Leu". Lineage: Eukaryota; Metazoa; Arthropoda; Collembola; Symphypleona; Sminthurididae. The record is from RNAcentral.